AUGCCGCCAUCGCACCUCGCCGCCACCGCGGCACAAUCUCCGGCCUCGUCGCGAGGUCGGCGUCCCCGCCAUGGCGGCACGAUGAUAUCCGCCUCCUGCUGUCGCGCCGCGGCCCUCGCCGCCGCCGCGGCCACCGCGUUCCUCACCUUCUCGCUGCCAUUGUCCCCCAGCGUGUCCACCACAAGGCACACGGGAGAAUUGUCCGCCGCGAGCUCGACGCCGCCGCCACAUCCAACAUUAGCUACGGUGUCACCUCCACCGCCGUCCCCGCCGCCUCCAAAACCAGCUACGUCCGCGGCGACGCCUCGAAAACGAGAGCCGUCGUAUUGGAGGAUGGCGCCGGAGGAGGCGCUGAGGUACGCCAAGAAGGAGAUAAUGGCCGCCGAGCCGGUCGCCGCCGCCGACCCCGACCUGUACGCGCCCCUCUUCAAGAACGUCUCCCAGUUCAAGAGGAGCUACCAACUGAUGGAACGGAUACUCAAAGUUUACAUUUACCAGGACGGUCGGCGGCCCAUCUUCCACACCCCUCCCCUCAGCGGCAUCUACGCGUCCGAGGGCUGGUUCAUGAAGCUCCUCAAGAAGAGCAGGCCGUUCGUCGUCGCCGACGCCGCCAAGGCGCACCUCUUCUACCUGCCCUACAGCUCGCAGAACCUCAGGCUCUCGCUCUACGUGCCGGACUCGCAUAACCUGCGCCCACUGGCCGUCUACCUCAGAGAUUUCGUCAAGGGCCUCGCCGCCAAGUACCCCUUCUGGAACCGCACCAGAGGCGCCGACCAUUUCCUCGUCGCCUGCCACGAUUGGGGACCUUACACGACCACGGCGCACCGCGACCUGUCCAGGAACAGCAUCAAGGCGCUGUGCAACGCCGACAGCUCGGAGGGGAUCUUCACGCCCGGGAAGGACGUGUCUCUCCCGGAGACGACCAUCAGGACGCCCAAGCGGCCCCUCCGGUACGUCGGCGGGCUCCCCAUCUCCCGGCGGCACAUCCUCGCCUUCUUCGCGGGCAACGUGCACGGCAGGGUCAGGCCGGUCCUCCUCCAGCAUUGGGGCAAGGGGCAGGACGAGGACAUGAGGGUGUACGCUCUCCUCCCCGGUAGGGUCUCCAGGACGAUGACCUACAUCGACCACAUGAAGAACAGCAGGUUCUGCCUGUGCCCCAUGGGGUACGAGGUGAACAGCCCCAGGAUCGUGGAGGCCCUGUACUACGAGUGCGUGCCGGUGAUCAUCGCCGACAACUUCGUGCUCCCCUUCAGCGACGUGCUCGACUGGAGCGCCUUCUCAGUGGUGGUCGCGGAGAAGGACAUACCGGACCUCAAGAAGAUACUCCAGGGGAUCUCGCUCCGGAGGUACGUGGCCAUGCACGACUGUGUCAAGCGGCUCCAAAGGCACUUCUUGUGGCACGCCAGGCCCCUCAGGUAUGAUCUCUUCCACAUGAUUCUGCACUCCAUUUGGCUCAGCAGAGUGAACCAUGUUCAACUUGACAACUGA
RNAcentral lists this ribosomal RNA (1488 nucleotides) under Triticum aestivum (bread wheat). RNAcentral's name for it is "partial small subunit ribosomal RNA". Lineage: Eukaryota; Viridiplantae; Streptophyta; Magnoliopsida; Poales; Poaceae. The record is from RNAcentral.